CUUCUUUGAUGUUGUUGACGAAGAGGAAGAUGACGGCAAUGAGGAUGAGGAAACAUCAUUUGUGGGGCUUGAAUAGAUCUCAGAAUUCAACCACAUAUGAGCCAAAACUUGACAAUUGCCUUCUUCAACCUCUGGACUAAGAUAUCACAGGCCAUUAAAGAAGAACCUUCUAGUUGAAGCCAAGCAUGCAUCAUCUCAUGAGCAAGGAUUGAACAUGUCAACAACCUGUUUUCUGGAUAAUAAUCAGCCAUGGUUGAUGAUCACACAAAAGAAUAACUGAGAUUUGCUGCAGUCACAUUACCUAGAGAGACCAUACAAAAUGAGGAUUGCAUGAACCGGCUUAUAAGGUUCAGUUACCAUAUCAGUAAUUUGGUGGUUUACUCCAAUUCUUGGCCUUCGGGUAACCUGGUGGAUUAUUCAAAAGAGUCUCGACACCCUAGACAUAGCUUUCGACCAUCAUCUGGUGACUGGUAUCUCAUGUCUCUUGGCUACAGAGAUUUAACGUUUUUCAUCAGCAACAAUGCUGGGAAAUUGAAAAGUGCUCUUUACUCUCGAAAAUCUGUCCUACAGUUCGACCAGCAAGCAAAGCAGGAUGUUUAUAAAUUGGAACUCACUUCCAUCAUCUCACAACUACAACAGAUUGGAGUCCCAUCUUGCUUAAGUGAAAAAAUCAUGUUAGGAUACUCAUAUUCACUCCAGAAUAA
Molecule: long non-coding RNA, 704 nt
Organism: Syzygium oleosum
Lineage: Eukaryota; Viridiplantae; Streptophyta; Magnoliopsida; Myrtales; Myrtaceae
Exons: 3
Source: RefSeq, a predicted model, not a curated record